AUCAGACGACCCUGGAAUCAGUUCAACUGGAGAUAGGGUUCAAAUGAAGGUAAAGAGUAGCCGUUCUUGCUACUUCCUCGGUGCAUCAUUUGUGAUCCUUGAAAAUUUGAGCGAGAUAAUCAAUUUCGCACUUAUCUGUACUCUAAACCGCAUCAGGUCUCCAAGGUGAAAAGCCUCUAGUCAAUUAGAACAAGGUAGCACAAGGGAAGUCGGCAAAAUCGAUCGGCAACUUCGGGAUAACGAUUGGCUCUAAGUGCUAGGGUGUUCGGGCUUGAUGAUAAAGCAGUAGACUUGCUAUUGGAGCUGAGCUUUCGGAUACAGCAAUGUGUCUGAUCGUUCGGACUAGUGGCUUGUCUUGCUGUGGAAUCGUUUGCUACGGUAUGCGGUUCGCUUGCGGAUCGUAUUACUUCGGACAUCGUUUAAUAGCAAACUUAGAACUCGCUGCGUCUAGGGGAAUCCGACUGUCUAAUUAAAACAGAGCUUU
Molecule: ribosomal RNA, 484 nt
Filed under: uncultured eukaryote
Lineage: Eukaryota
Description: eukaryotic LSU rRNA
Rfam family: Eukaryotic large subunit ribosomal RNA
Source: RNAcentral